UACGAAGGGUGCAAGCGUUAAUCGGAAUUACUGGGCGUAAAGCGCGCGUAGGUGGUUCAGCAAGUUGGAUGUGAAAGCCCCGGGCUCAACCUGGGAACUGCAUCCAAAACUACUGAGCUAGAGUACGGUAGAGGGUGGUGGAAUUUCCUGUGUAGCGGUGAAAUGCGUAGAUAUAGGAAGGAACACCAGUGGCGAAGGCGACCACCUGGACUGAUACUGACACUGA
RNAcentral lists this ribosomal RNA (226 nucleotides) under uncultured bacterium. Its description in RNAcentral is "partial 16S ribosomal RNA". It matches the Rfam family "Bacterial small subunit ribosomal RNA", at positions 524 to 749 of the family's 1533-position model. The record is from RNAcentral.